ACGAACGCUGGCGGCAUGCCUAACACAUGCAAGUCGAACGAGACCUUCGGGUCUAGUGGCGCACGGGUGCGUAACGCGUGGGAACCUGCCCUUAGGUUCGGAAUAACUCCCCGAAAGGGGUGCUAAUACCGGAUAAUGUCUUCGGACCAAAGAUUUAUCGCCUUUGGAUGGGCCCGCGUUGGAUUAGCUAGUUGGUAGGGUAAAAGCCUACCAAGGCGACGAUCCAUAGCUGGUCUGAGAGGAUGAUCAGCCACACUGGGACUGAGACACGGCCCAGACUCCUACGGGAGGCAGCAGUGGGGAAUAUUGGACAAUGGGCGAAAGCCAGAUCCAGCAAUGCCGCGUGAGUGAUGAAGGCCUUAGGGUUGUAAAGCUCUUUUACCCGGGAUGAUAAUGACAGUACCGGGAGAAUAAGCUCCGGCUAACUCCGUG
Molecule: ribosomal RNA, 432 nt
Filed under: uncultured bacterium
Lineage: Bacteria
Description: partial 16S ribosomal RNA
Rfam family: Bacterial small subunit ribosomal RNA
Source: RNAcentral